Molecule: non-coding RNA, 125 nt
Organism: Triticum aestivum (bread wheat)
Lineage: Eukaryota; Viridiplantae; Streptophyta; Magnoliopsida; Poales; Poaceae
Source: Rfam
CAAGUACUCCCUCCGUCCGGAAAUACUCAUCGGAGAAAUGGACGUAUCUAGACAUAUUUCAAUUCUAGAUACAUCCAGUUUUAUUAAUUUCUCCAACAUGUAUUUUGGGUCGGAGGGAGUAUAUA